Molecule: transfer RNA, 75 nt
Filed under: Bacteroidota bacterium
Lineage: Bacteria; Pseudomonadati; Bacteroidota
Description: Bacteroidetes bacterium (hydrothermal vent metagenome) tRNA-Gln
Rfam family: tRNA
About the family: Transfer RNA (tRNA) molecules are approximately 80 nucleotides in length. Their secondary structure includes four short double-helical elements and three loops (D, anti-codon, and T loops).
Source: RNAcentral
UGGCCCAUGGUGUAAUUGGCAACACAGCAGUUUUUGGUACUGUCGUUCAAGGUUCGAGUCCUUGUGGGCCAACAA